ACAAUGAAACAAUUUUCUUCCCAUCUUUACCCUUCCCUACUCAUCUAAAUUACUUCGCUUCUGUUCCCCUGUUCUCCCCCAAAGUCAAUUCCCCUGUUAUCCAUCACCCAAAUCUCUCUCGUCCUAACUCUCUUCUCAGAAACCCCAAAUCUCUCUCUUCCUAACUCUCUUCUCAGAAACCCAAUUAUCUCAAUCCCUCAGAGACCUCAAACCCAACCCCAACCCCAACCGUCCAUCCACCUCGCUCCAAUCAAUCACAGACGUCCAUGACCUCCUCCCCAAGUACGGCCUCCCAAGGGGUCUGUUACCCGACAACGUAAGAUCGUACACUCUCUCUGACGAUGGAACCUUCGAGAUCUAUCUCGAAAACCCGUGUUAUGUUCACUUUGAUCAGUUGGUGUACUACAAUAAGAACAUUAAAGGGAAGCUGAGUUUCGGCUCUGUUUCCGAUGUGUCGGGGAUUCAAGCCAAGAAGCUAUUUAUUUGGGUUUCCGUGACGGGGAUGCAUAUGGAGCAAGGGUCUGAUUCAGUUGAGUUUUACGUUGGGGCUCUGUCCGAGAAAUUGCCUGCUAAACAGUUCGAGGACAUUCCUGUAUGUAAGAGCAAGGCUUGCCGAGGAGGAGCUAGUGUUGAGUCAAUGUGAGGUAGAAAUAACUAAAAUGGAGUUGGCAUUUGAAGAAGAAUAAAGUGUGCAUAUGUCUCUAUCUGUUGCAAGAAUUUUAUGCUUGUUGCUCUCAAGUUCUCUCCACACAAGUGGCCUACAGAAGCAAAUAUAUGUGCAUAUGAAUUUCUUGUUAGUUGCCACAAAAAGAAAUAAUGCAUUGUUAUUUCCUCUGUGUGCCAACUACAGGCACUGAUCUACACCGUAUGAAUUAUAAGUAAAUACUAGAAUUUGUCCCCACGCGUGUUUUGGAUUGAAA
This is a long non-coding RNA of Rosa rugosa (rugosa rose), 920 nucleotides long. RefSeq lists it as uncharacterized. Lineage: Eukaryota; Viridiplantae; Streptophyta; Magnoliopsida; Rosales; Rosaceae. The record is from RefSeq and is a predicted model, not a curated record. The transcript has 2 exons.